GAUGAACGCUGGCGGCGUGCCUAAUACAUGCAAGUCGAGCGAACAGACGAGGAGCUUGCUCCUCUGACGUUAGCGGCGGACGGGUGAGUAACACGUGGAUAACCUACCUAUAAGACUGGGAUAACUUCGGGAAACCGGAGCUAAUACCGGAUAAUAUAUUGAACCGCAUGGUUCAAUAGUGAAAGACGGUUUUGCUGUCACUUAUAGAUGGAUCCGCGCCGCAUUAGCUAGUUGGUAAGGUAACGGCUUACCAAGGCAACGAUGCGUAGCCGACCUGAGAGGGGUGACGGGAAACACGAAAGAGGAAACAGGACCAAGCCACAGAGGGGGGGAGCAAAGAGGAAUACUCCAGAAAGGGGAAAAGCCGAGAGGAACAACGCCGGGGGGAUGAAUAAAGUUUUAGGAAAAUAAAAACUUUUUUAUGGGAGAAAAAAAAAUGUGAAAGUAAUAAGGCAUGUCUGAGGGUCCCCAAACAAAAAGACCGGGAAAAGGUAGGUC
This 498-nucleotide ribosomal RNA is filed under the name uncultured bacterium. Its description in RNAcentral is "partial 16S ribosomal RNA". It matches the Rfam family "Bacterial small subunit ribosomal RNA", at positions 28 to 508 of the family's 1533-position model. The record is from RNAcentral.